RNAcentral lists this ribosomal RNA (1464 nucleotides) under uncultured bacterium. RNAcentral describes it as "partial 16S ribosomal RNA". It matches the Rfam family "Bacterial small subunit ribosomal RNA". The record is from RNAcentral.
AGAGUUUGAUCAUGGCUCAGAUUGAACGCUGGCGGUAGGCUUAACACAUGCAAGUCGUGCGAGAAAGUACCUUCGGGUGCGAGUAGAGCGGCGGACGGGUGAGUAACGCGUAGGAAUCUACCUAGUAGAAGGGGAUAGCCCGGGGAAACUCGGAUUAAUACCGUAUACCUCCUUAGGGAGAAAGAGGGCUUAGCUUUGAUGCUCUCGCUAUUAGAUGAGCCUGCGUAAGAUUAGCUUGUUGGUGAGGUAAUGGCUCACCAAGGCGACGAUCUUUAGCUGGUCUGAGAGGACGAUCAGCCACAUUGGGACUGAGACACGGCCCAAACUCCUACGGGAGGCAGCAGUGGGGAAUCUUGCACAAUGGAGGAAACUCUGAUGCAGCGAUGCCGCGUGAGUGAAGAAGGCCUUUGGGUUGUAAAGCUCUUUCGUCGGGGAAGAAAAUGACUGUACCCGAAUAAGAAGGUCCGGCUAACUUCGUGCCAGCAGCCGCGGUAAUACGAAGGGACCUAGCGUAGUUCGGAAUUACUGGGCUUAAAGAGUUCGUAGGUGGUUGAAAAAGUUGGUGGUGAAAUCCCAGAGCUUAACUCUGGAACUGCCAUCAAAACUUUUCAGCUAGAGUUUGAUAGAGGAAAGCAGAAUUUCUAGUGUAGAGGUGAAAUUCGUAGAUAUUAGAAAGAAUACCAAUUGCGAAGGCAGCUUUCUGGAUCAAUACUGACACUGAGGAACGAAAGCAUGGGUAGCGAAGAGGAUUAGAUACCCUCGUAGUCCAUGCCGUAAACGAUGUGUGUUAGACGUUGGAAAUUUAUUUUCUGUGUCGCAGCGAAAGCGAUAAACACACCGCCUGGGGAGUACGACCGCAAGGUUAAAACUCAAAUGAAUUGACAGGGACCCGCACAAGUAGUGGAGCAUGUGGUUUAAUUCGAAGAUACGCGCAGAACCUUACCAACACUUGACAUGUUCGUCGCGACUUUAAGAGAUUAAAGUUUUCGGUUCGGCCGGACGAAACACAGGUGCUGCAUGGCUGUCGUCAGCUCGUGUCGUGAGAUGUUGGGUUAAGUCCCGCAACGAGCGCAACCCUCACUUUUAGUUGCCAUCAUUUAGUUGGGCACUCUGAAAGAACUGCCAGUGAUAAGCUGGAGGAAGGUGGGGAUGACGUCAAGUCCUCAUGGCCCUUACGUGUUGGGCUACACACGUGCUACAAUGAUAUCUACAACAGGAAGCAAAACGGCGACGUUAAGCAAAUCCUUAAAAGAUAUCUCAGUUCGGAUUGCACUCUGCAACUCGAGUGCAUGAAGCUGGAAUUACUAGUAAUCGUGGAUCAGCGUGCCACGGUGAAUGCGUUCCCGGGUCUUGUACACACCGCCCGUCACACCAUGGGAGUUGGUUCUACCUUAAGGCAAGGUUUAAUACCCUUGACCACGGUAUAGUCAGCGACUGGGGUGAAGUCGUAACAAGGUAACCGUA